Molecule: long non-coding RNA, 561 nt
Filed under: Olea europaea (common olive)
Lineage: Eukaryota; Viridiplantae; Streptophyta; Magnoliopsida; Lamiales; Oleaceae
Description: long non-coding RNA (OEUR_LNC008585)
Source: RNAcentral
GGAAUAAUACGGAGUGGAAAUAGAAUUUUACUGAUGUGGAAUGACAUGGACGUAUUAUUAGGUGGGGCCUACUUGACACACCUCUCUUUGGAAUAUUAAAAUCGCGUUUCGUGAAAACAGCAUCGGUCGAGCGACAAAAGAUUUUUGUCUCCUCGACUUCCUUGCUGAUCAGCAUUCACAUGCGUCCAAAAAUGAAUAAUGCUUCCUCCAAUGGCGGAGAAUGGACAGGGAGUAUGGGCACACUGUAUUUUCUGCAGAGGAUAAACUCAAGAAUGGGGAAGAUACUGACGUAACAAUUUCAAACAAUUCGCCGAAAAGAUAGGCUUUCUCUCUCUAGACUCUGCCUAGUAAUUAUCACGUACUAUUUGCCCUUGUAUAAAUGACGUCUUCCUCGUCUUUGCUGCCUCGAUUUAUCAGCCGAAGGAAAAGGAAUUUAAAUAACAAUUUUCCGUCUUCUUCUUCUGGUUCGUGUUCGUGGUCUAAUUCGGAGUCAUUUAAUCAGUGCCGACGACAGAACUGGGGUUUUAUUAGCUUUUCUGGUAAAUUAUUGUUCUUUCUCUG